This 513-nucleotide ribosomal RNA is filed under the name uncultured bacterium. RNAcentral's name for it is "bacterial SSU rRNA". It matches the Rfam family "Bacterial small subunit ribosomal RNA", at positions 20 to 518 of the family's 1533-position model. The record is from RNAcentral.
UGGCUCAGAACGAACGCUGGCGGCGCGUCUUAAGCAUGCAAGUCGAGCGGUAAGAUAGAGCUUGCUCUAUCCUAGAGCGGCGGACUGGUGAGUAACGCGUGGGUGACGUACCCUUGUGACGGGGACAGCUCCUAGAAAUAGGAGAUAAUACCGGAUACGCUGUGCAUUGUCAGAGGAUGUACAGGAAAGGAUCUUUUGAUCCGCACGAGGAGCGGCCCGCGUACUAUUAGCUAGUUGGUGAGGUAACGGCCCACCAAGGCGACGAUAGUUACCCGGCCUAAGAGGGUGAUCGGGCACAUUGGGACUGAGAUACGGCCCAGACUCCUACGGGAGGCAGCAGCUAAGAAUAUUCCGCAAUGGACGAAAGUCUGACGGAGCGACGCCGCGUGGAUGAUGAAAGGUCGGAAGAUUGUAAAAUCCUUUUAUGACUGAGGAAUAAGGAGGGUGAGAGAAACGCCUUCUGGUGACUGUAGGUCAUGAAUAAGAGGCGGCUAAUUACGUGCCAGCAGCCGC